UGGAAAUCCAUGGUUGCUGGCAGUGAAGGAUACUGGAAGUGGAGCCUCAAUCUGACCCCAUCUAAGACUACCAGAAAAGCAUUUGGGAGAAAUGUCUUGCUCCGCUCACUGCACCACUGGCUUCCUAUGAAAUGCUAUAUCGAUAGCUCUACCUCUCCCCUUUGCCUGUUUAGGUGGUAUGAACUUGCAGAAUCUACUUGGACUGCCAGGGCUACAAGCAGCACGCUCUCCAUCUGGCUUCAGAGCUAAGACAAAGCUUCACUACUGGACCAACAGAGAUAUAUUUGGGUGAAGGAAAGAGCACAAAGUAUGCAAGAGGAUCCUGGCUACCUCAAGCUCCUCAGGCGCACAAGGCUGAGAGAAAGGUCCCUAGGCCCCCACUGGGAGAUGCCUUUCACUCUCCUUACAGCACAGUCAGAGCAACCAAGAUACUUCUGCGGAAGCCUCAGUGGAGUCAGU
RNAcentral lists this long non-coding RNA (459 nucleotides) under Struthio camelus australis. RNAcentral describes it as "lncRNA (ENSSCUG00000011994.1)". The record is from RNAcentral. Lineage: Eukaryota; Metazoa; Chordata; Aves; Struthioniformes; Struthionidae.